GAUAGGUCGAAGAGUGGUGCAUGGCCGUUAACGACGAGUGGAGUGAUCUUUGGGUUAAGUCCGUAAAUUAGUGAGACCUCAGCCGUAAGGGACAGGUGCGCAAAGCACAGGAAGGAUGGGUCAAGGACAGGUCAGUGAUGCCCUUAGAUGGUCCGGGCUGCACGCGCACUACAGUGGUCGCCGAAAUUAGCUGAUAAUUUUAAAGGCGAUCGAGAGGGAAUGAGCUUUGUAAGAGGCUCAGGAACGAGGAAUUGCUAGUAAUCGCGGACUCAUUAAGACGCGAUGAAUACGUCCCUGUUCUUUGUACACACCGCCCGUCGUUAUCGAAGAUGAAGACAGGCGCGAACGAUCUACCAGAAAGUGAGCGCAGGUCUUUAGAUCUGAUACAAGUCGUAACAAGGUAGCUGUAGGUGAACCUGUAGCUGG
This 426-nucleotide ribosomal RNA is filed under the name Loma morhua. RNAcentral describes it as "SSU rRNA". It matches the Rfam family "Microsporidia small subunit ribosomal RNA", at positions 885 to 1304 of the family's 1311-position model. Lineage: Eukaryota; Fungi; Microsporidia; Glugeidae. The record is from RNAcentral.